UACGUAGGAUCCAAGCGUUGUCCAGAUUUACUGGGUGUAAAGGGUGCGCAGGCGGACUUGUUAGUCAGGGGUGAAAUCUCACAGCUUAACUGUGAAACUGCCUUUGAUACUGCAAGUCUUGAAGUGGGGAGAGAGUUGUGGAAAUCCGAGUGUAGCAGUGAAAUGUGUAGAUAUUCGGAAGAACACCAGUGGCGAAGGCAGCAACUUGGCCCCAGAUUGACGCUCAGGCACGAAAGCAUGGGGAUCAAACAGG
This 253-nucleotide ribosomal RNA is filed under the name uncultured bacterium. Its description in RNAcentral is "partial 16S ribosomal RNA". It matches the Rfam family "Bacterial small subunit ribosomal RNA", at positions 524 to 776 of the family's 1533-position model. The record is from RNAcentral.